Molecule: non-coding RNA, 2282 nt
Organism: Lactuca sativa (garden lettuce)
Lineage: Eukaryota; Viridiplantae; Streptophyta; Magnoliopsida; Asterales; Asteraceae
Source: RefSeq, a predicted model, not a curated record
AAUUAAAUGGACGCUAAUAAAUUAUAGUCGCCUUGCCGUUGCCUUGGAGGCUCGGAGCAUCUCUCUUUAUCUGCCGUCUAGAUACGACUGGAAAAACAGUUUUUUCCCGAAUUAUUGUAAAGUUGUGGUCAAAGUUCAACAUGUACACUACAGAAGCAGUGAUCGAGUUUUUGGGUUGUGUGCCGUUGCUUCAGAGGCUCCCGAGCUUGUCUCUCCGGAAAAUCGCACAAGUUGUUACUGUUAAACACUACGAACCACAUGAGUAUGUUGUUCGUGAAGGAGAGGCUGGGAAUGGAAUCUACUUCAUAUGGGAAGGCGAGGCGGAGGUGUCUGGCUAUGUCCAAGCAGAUGAGCAUAAUAGGCCAGAGUUCCAACUUAAACGUUAUGACUACUUUGGCAAUGGUGUGGCAGUAUCUGCACAGCAAGCAGAUGUCAUUGCACUUACUAAGUUGACCUGCUUAGUAUUGCCCCAAGAGCAUUGCAGUUUGUUGCAGUCAAAGUCAAUCUGGAGUGCAGACAAAACACUAGAAUCAUGUUCACUUGUAGAGAGCAUAUUGCAUCUUGAGCCUAUAGAAGUCAACAUUUUUAAAGGGAUCACGUUGCCUGAUGCUCCACGUUUUGGGAAAGUGUUUGGUGGACAGUUCAUUGGACAGGCGCUGGCUGCAGCAUCAAAAACUGUUGAUUCACUCAAGAUUGUUCAUAGCUUACAUGUUUACUUUCUUCUUGUUGGGGAUCUUGAAAUUCCAAUUAUAUAUCAUGUUCAUCGCGUACGCGAUGGCAAUAGUUUUGCUACACGAAGGAUAGAUGCAAUACAAAAGGGAAAUGUUGUGUUCACAAUGAUUGCUUCAUUUCAGAAAGAAGAAGUAGGGUUUGAUCACCAGUUACCCUCUAUGCCAGCUGUCCCUGAUCCAGAACUGCUUUUAUCAAUGGAAGAUUUGCGUGAGAGGCGCCUUACCGAUCCUCGUCUUCCCAGGACUUACAGAAACAAAGUUGCCACAGCAAAGUUUAUUCCUUGGCCUAUUGAGAUAAGAUUUUGUGAGCCUAGCAAUUCAACCAACUACGAUAAACGUCCUGCAAGUUUGAGGUACUGGUUUAAAGCGAAAGGAAAACUCUCAGAUGAUGAGGCUUUGCAUAGAUGUGUUGCAGCAUACACUUCAGAUCUCAUAUUUCUAAAUGUCAGUCUGAAUCCUCACCGCAGUAAGGGCUUGAAAACCUCUUCUGUUAGCUUAGAUCACUCGUUUAACCGGUUGCCUUGCCUAUGUGGCAUCCACCUUGAACAAAUUCUGAUUAGACUAUGUCCAUGUGGAGCUGACAUGACGUCUAUGUGGACUUUGUUACUUAAUUUAAAAUUGAUUACAUUAUAUUUUUGGUCCCUGAUUAUAGCUGAUACUUGCAUUUUUGGUCCCAAGAAGUUCUGUUGCAAAAUUUGGUCCUUAGUUAAGGUUUUUGUAACAUUUUUUUUUGUCUGUGUUCCAAGUAAAUGAAUAAAUUGCAAAAAUCAGCGAUACUCAGGGAUCAAAAAUAGUCAUUUUACUUGGAACAUGGACCGAAAUCUUACAUGAUCCUCCCCAAAAUAACAAGUUAACAUUUUGGGAUUAAAACUGCUAGUAUCAGCUAUAAUCAAGGACCAAAAAUGUAAUUUCCUCUUUGAAGUUCUAAAAACUUAAAAAUCAAUAGUAAAUUACCUUUUUGGUACCUGAGUUUGUUUUCAGUUUUGGUCCCAAAUAGUUUCCAAAAUUGCAGAGGAAACUAUUGAAAAUACAGUUUUUAAACAAUCUCAGGGUCCAUAAUCGUUACAACAAUUGAAAAUAGGCACUAAAAGUGCAAAAGGAAACUAUUUGGGACCAGAACUGCAAUUUUUGUACAAACUCAGGGACCAAAAAUGUAAUUUACUCAAAAAUUAAUAUUAACUUUUUAUCACUUUUUUGAUUGCUAAAACUUUUAUGUUUUAAAAAAUCUAUAAUUCAAGUAUAUAUAUAAAAAACUAACUUUAUAAGUUAUAAAAAACUGAAAAAUAAGUCAAAAGUACUAAUUUAGCGCCACAUAGACAUAGUCUGAUCAAAAUUUGUCCAGGGUGGAUUCCAUGUAGGCAAGGCAACCGCUUAAAGUAAACCUGCAAUAGCAUGUUACGAUGGUAUAAAUAAUAGAGAUACAAAAGGAUGUGGUUUCACCGGCCUUUUAGAGCUGACGAGUGGUUGUUGUUUGUGAUAUCGAGUCCAACUGCAUACAAUGCACGUGGAUUCGUGAGUGGCCAAAUGUUCAACAGAAAAGGAGAGGUAUGC